GCAUAUCAAUAAGCGGAGGAAAAGAAACCAACAGGGAUUACCUCAGUAACGGCGAGUGAAGCGGUAAAAGCUCAAAUUUGAAAUCUGGCUCUUUUAGAGUCCGAGUUGUAAUUUGUAGAAGAUGCUUCGGGUGUGGUUCCGGUCUAAGUUCCUUGGAACAGGACGUCAUAGAGGGUGAGAAUCCCGUAUGUGACUGGAUACCUAUGCUCAUGUGAAGCUCUUUCGACGAGUCGAGUUGUUUGGGAAUGCAGCUCAAAAUGGGUGGUAUAUUUCAUCUAAAGCUAAAUAUUGGCCAGAGACCGAUAGCGCACAAGUAGAGUGAUCGAAAGAUGAAAAGCACUUUGGAAAGAGAGUUAAACAGUACGUGAAAUUGUUGAAAGGGAAGCGCUUGCAAUCAGACUUGCACUUGGUGUUCAUCGGGGUUUCUACCCCGUGUACUUCAUCAAGUUCAGGCCAGCAUCAGUUUGGGUGGUUAGAUAAAGGCUUAGAGAAUGUGGCCCUCUUCGGGGGGUGUUAUAGCUCUAGGUGCAAUGUAGCCUACCUGGACUGAGGACCGCGCUUCGGCUAGGAUGCUGGCGUAAUGGUUGUAAGCGACCCGUCUUGAAACACGGACCAAGGAGUGUACCUAAUAUGCGAGUGUUUGGGUGUUAGACCCAUACGCGUAAUGAAAGUGAACGGAGGUGAGAGCCCUUAAGGGUGCAUCAUCGACCGAUCCUGAUGUCUUCGGAUGGAUUUGAGUAAGAGCAUAUUGGGUGCGACCCGAAAGAUGGUGAUCUAUACGUGAAUAGGGUGAAGCCAGAGGAAACUCUGGUGGAGGCUCGCAGCGGUUCUGACGUGCAAAUCGAUCGUCAAAUUUGCGUAUAGGGGCGAAAGACUAAUCGAACCAUCUAGUAGCUGGUUCCUGCCGA
This 908-nucleotide ribosomal RNA is filed under the name Monilinia laxa. RNAcentral describes it as "LSU rRNA". It matches the Rfam family "Eukaryotic large subunit ribosomal RNA", at positions 38 to 964 of the family's 3401-position model. The record is from RNAcentral. Lineage: Eukaryota; Fungi; Ascomycota; Leotiomycetes; Helotiales; Sclerotiniaceae.